CGCCUUGCACCCCCUGCCCCCGACCCCUAUAUUGAACCCGUCGGGGGCAACCCCGACUAUGGCGAUAAACGCACCUGUAAUAAUCGGCUCGGACCCGGGGGCGGUACCCGGCGGCUCCACCAGACUUUCCCUUCGUUGGGGCGUGUGGGGCCGAAAUAGGAUCGACGAACGACCAAAGAGGCCAGCUUUCGCUCGGUGAGGUACCACCGUUAUCGGUCCAUGAUCACAGUUGCCAACGACAACCGUGCUCCGGUGGCGCUGGCCGCGUAAGCGGCUCGCAAGACCAA
This 287-nucleotide transfer-messenger RNA is filed under the name Tabrizicola sp. Its description in RNAcentral is "partial transfer-messenger RNA". It matches the Rfam family "Alphaproteobacteria transfer-messenger RNA", at positions 1 to 287 of the family's 355-position model. Rfam says of the family: Bacterial tmRNA, also known as 10Sa RNA or SsrA, is named for its dual tRNA and mRNA-like properties. Its role is to liberate the mRNA from a stalled ribosome. To accomplish this part of the tmRNA is used as a reading frame that ends in a translation stop signal. Lineage: Bacteria; Pseudomonadati; Pseudomonadota; Alphaproteobacteria; Rhodobacterales; Paracoccaceae. The record is from RNAcentral.